GCCUACGGGGGGCAGCAGUGGGGAAUAUUGCACAAUGGGGGAAACCCUGAUGCGGCAACGCCGCGUGAGUGAAGAAGUAUUUCGGUAUGUAAAGCUCUAUCAGCAGGGAAGAAGAUGACGGUACCUGGAUAAGAAGCCUCGGCUAACUACGUGCCAGCAGCCGCGGUAAUACGUAGGGGGCAAGCGUUAUCCGGAUUUACUGGGUGUAAAGGGAGCGCAGACGGCAGUGCAAGUCUGGAGUGAAAGCCCG
RNAcentral lists this ribosomal RNA (250 nucleotides) under uncultured bacterium. RNAcentral's name for it is "partial 16S ribosomal RNA". It matches the Rfam family "Bacterial small subunit ribosomal RNA", at positions 337 to 604 of the family's 1533-position model. The record is from RNAcentral.